Molecule: ribosomal RNA, 253 nt
Filed under: uncultured bacterium
Lineage: Bacteria
Description: partial 16S ribosomal RNA
Rfam family: Bacterial small subunit ribosomal RNA
Source: RNAcentral
UACGUAGGGGGCAAGCGUUGUCCGGAAUCAUUGGGCGUAAAGAGCGUGUAGGCGGUCCGGUAAGUCGGCUGUGAAAGUCCAGGGCUCAACCCUGGGAUGCCGGUCGAUACUGCCGGACUAGAGUUCGGAAGAGGCAAGUGGAAUUCCUGGUGUAGCGGUGGAAUGCGCAGAUAUCAGGAGGAACACCAAUAGCGAAGGCAGCUUGCUGGGACGGUACUGACGCUAAGGCGCGAAAGCGUGGGGAGCGAACAGG